RNAcentral lists this long non-coding RNA (1142 nucleotides) under Vulpes vulpes (red fox). RNAcentral's name for it is "lncRNA (ENSVVUG00000022158.1)". The record is from RNAcentral. Lineage: Eukaryota; Metazoa; Chordata; Mammalia; Carnivora; Canidae.
CACAGCUUCAGAUGACCCCCAAACCAACUCCUACCUCAUUCACACUCUAUUCAAGUUCUCCUCCUAAUUGUCUUUUUUUUUUUUUUUUCAGAAUCAUCCAUUUAUUUCAAUGUAGGGCCAAUGCAGCAUGUGGGGAAGCAAGGAGAGGAAGUUAGAGGUUCAGAGGGCCAGCAAGUAGGAGAUCAGAGUUUUCCAAUGAAGAUUUUACUCUGAGCUGGAAAUGAGUUGCCCUUUGGGUUCCAGUACAAUCUGUGCCAUUUAUCUGCCAGUCUCUCAAAGGUAAACUAGAACAUCUCCCUGCAGGUAGUCACCCUGACAGUGAAAUGGGCAACUUCUAUACUUGUCUCAUUUCGUCUUCACAGCCAAGUUGUGAGGUAGGCAUCUGUAUAGCUCAGGGACACCUAAGUAAAGUGGUUUGGCCAAAGUAAGAGUUUUAUUUCCCUCAUGUGACACAAAGUCCAGACAAGGCUGGUACAGCUGCUUGAGGAGUUAAUUAUCAGGAAUUCAAGAACCUGCUCCACUACCGUUCCUGAGCAUGUGCCUUCCAACUUCAUUGUCACAAGAUGGCUGCCCCUCCUUCAAGAAUAGCAUUUAUGUCCCAGGCAAGAAGAAAGGGAAGGGCGGAGAGUAAAAGGCAUGUGCCAGCUGAAUCUGGCCCAUUUAUAAGGAAAGCAAUAGCUCUUCUUGAAGCCACCCCAGCAGGCUUCUGGCCACCUCUCAUUAGUAGGAACUAGCAAUAUGGUCACCCCUGGGUGAAGGGAGCCUGGGCAGGGGAGCACUUAAUUUGGGACAUUGUCUCUCCAAAUAAGACUAGGCUUCCAUUGGUAAGAAUGGAGAGGUUGUGGAAGUAGACAAGGAGCAGUGUCUGCCUCACUACUAUUAUUCCUGUUUUACUGAUGAGGAAACAGCUUUGGAGAAGCUACAAGAUCUACUCAAGGCCAUGCACCUGGGCAGUGAAAGAGCCAGACCUUGCCUCCAGGUCCUCCAUCUGUGCAGAUGCCUGUGUGAGGUGGUACAAUGAGCAGGAGCACAGAAGAACCAGAUACCCUCCUCACCUGAGGUCAGGUGCUCCUCCAGGGAGAAUAUCUUCCUCACUGACUCACCAUGCCGGGCUGUCCCUCUGCGGCUACUCCAUCACCUGA